This 335-nucleotide ribosomal RNA is filed under the name uncultured soil bacterium. RNAcentral's name for it is "bacterial SSU rRNA". It matches the Rfam family "Bacterial small subunit ribosomal RNA", at positions 26 to 365 of the family's 1533-position model. The record is from RNAcentral.
AGAUUGAACGCUGGCGGCAGGCCUAACACAUGCAAGUCGAGCGGUAGAGAGGUGCUUGCAUCUCUUGAGAGCGGCGGACGGGUGAGUAAUGCCUAGGAAUCUGCCUAGUGGUGGGGGAUAACGUUCGGAAACGGACGCUAAUACCGCAUACGUCCUACGGGAGAAAGCGGGGGACCUUCGGGCCUCGCGCCAUUAGAUGAGCCUAGGUCGGAUUAGCUAGUUGGUGAGGUAAUGGCUCACCAAGGCGACGAUCCGUAACUGGUCUGAGAGGAUGAUCAGUCACACUGGAACUGAGACACGGUCCAGACUCCUACGGGAGCAGCAGUGGGAAUAUU